RNAcentral lists this unclassified non-coding RNA (232 nucleotides) under Hevea brasiliensis (rubber tree). The record is from RNAcentral. Lineage: Eukaryota; Viridiplantae; Streptophyta; Magnoliopsida; Malpighiales; Euphorbiaceae.
GCAUAUAAGUGGGACAUACUUUCGUUGUGGGCCUAUGAUUCAAGAAUAAACAUGUAGCAUAGAAUCACAAAGUCAAAGAUAGACGCAUUUAUGAACAAGGACCAUUUAAAGCUCCAUCGCCUUUAAUUAGAAUGAUUUUUGAAAGAAUGAAAGAUCAUCUAAAGUUUCAUUUAUUCAAGAUGUCAUUUAGGAAAGAAGUAUCAGUUUUCAACUGCACCAUGCCGCCAAUAAU